Long non-coding RNA from Esox lucius (northern pike), 1925 nucleotides. RefSeq lists it as uncharacterized. The transcript has 4 exons. NCBI's taxonomy places the organism in Eukaryota, Metazoa, Chordata, Actinopteri, Esociformes, Esocidae. The record is from RefSeq and is a predicted model, not a curated record.
UGUCAUAGCUUUAAUGGCAGAUGAAGAGCUGGUUCAAUAUAUCAAUAGAUAUGGAGACCGACUUGCUGUUCGAGCAUUUUGUCGGCAAAGAACUUGGACGAACAACAGUGAGACAGUGAAGUCAGCUCUGAUGCACAGGGUUUGAGAAAAAUGAAGGAAGAACAUCCGCCAAAAGCGACACAGCUGUAUGUAGACCUGUCGGCAAUAGAUAUGCAGUGAAAGACAAACGGCGGGUCGAAAUGGGAUGGCUUAACUUUCAGAAGGGCGAGUAUCACCAGGUCCGAACAAAAGGUGGAGGUGGACAUGGCACCAGUCUGUGCAGAAAACUGUAACCGUGGGUGAGCUGCUAUAUAGGCAAAGAUUUAUUCUUCCCAGAUGGACACUCUGCCAAAGGACCUAUUGGGAAGUUCAAUUUUGACAUUCGUGAUUUCAGUCAGAAUUCGCUACCUCAUGAUUGCACCGUAGACCAGCUGUAUGAGAGGACCAAGCUGCGAAUGCUGUGCAUUUACACGUGCUCCCAUUAAUCAUUCUCUCGGAUGCAUCCUCAGACUUUGAGCCCAACGAUGAGAGGCCAGUGAAGAACAAAACCAGGAGACAUCAUCACAAGAGGACUGAAUCUACCAAAGAGGAUCACCCAGAGAAAUGUUCUGAUUUAGAUGAGGCACCUACUGACUCAGUGCAAGAAACUCAUGAAAGAGGCGACGAGCCAGGCAAUCAAGAUCAGCCCCUCGUGAGAUGAGUGAAAUAGAAUUCCUGCCUUCACUUGCUGAUGAUUGUUUAAUGCUUGCGUCAAAUGAACAUGCAGACCAGUGCAGUUAUGAGGUGGAAUCCCAAAUUGCCCUUGCCAUCCAUGCGUCUCUCAAAGACUUUGAAGUACAGUUUGGAGGAAUUUGUUCUGGUGAUGAUGGUUGUGAAGACUCCACUCUUCCUUGGAAUCCUUGUUACCUCAACAAUAUGCAGCAUUCUACAAUGAACGAUUGACCUGCAUCAUCAAACAGUCUUACAGCAUCACCAGAUCAGUCUGAAAAAGAAGUCCUGUAUGAGGAAUUAAGGCGAGUUAACAUAGUUCAUGAUGUCCUUAAUGUCUUCAUGGAACCAAGAGUACUGAAUGUUAAUCUGAAAAUGGAGUUUAUGAAUGAGAAAGCUGUGGACACUGAUGGUGUGUCAAGAGAGGUGUAUUCUGCCUUCUGGGAACACUUCUUGGAACAGUGUGAGAGGGAAGAAGAGAGAGUUCCCAGACUACGACCAGACUAUUCUGAGAAGGAAUGGAAAGCAGUUGGAAGAGUGGUUGAAAGGAUACUUGGACUACGGCAUCAUGCCUAUCAGACUGUUAAUAGCUUUUGUGCUUGCCUGCUGCCAAGGAGUCAGCUCAGUGGAUGAAGAACUCUUGAUGACGUCCUUUGCCAGAUUCCUGUCAGUGACUGAGAGACAAUCCAUUGAAAAAGCAAUGCAAGGCAGCAUGGAUGAGAGUGAUGAGGAGGAAUUACUCGACCUCUUUUCACGAAUGGGCGCACACUGCCUGCCCUGUAAAGAAAACCUAAGGGCUACCAUUGUAACAAUGGCACACAAAGCUUAUUAUUGACUGUUUCCAGUCCAGUAUUCACACUGCUUUGCCAACUCCCAUAACCAAAGGGUGCCUAAUGGAUCUCUAUGAAUCUAAGAGACCAACCAACAGCAAAGUGGCACAGAUGAUUAAACCGUCAAAUGAAAGCUUAAGUACACAGGAGCAGGCAGCCCUCAACCACCUACUACGAUAUGUCAGAAGCAUUGACCAAAAUAAGCUAGAAACCUUUUUGCGCUUCUGCACAGGGUCCACUGUGCUGUGCAAAGACAAAAUUGAAGUAACUUUUAAUAAACUGUGUGGUUUAAGUCGCAGGCCUGUUGCACACACUUGUAGAGCAGUACUUGAGUUACUAUGCACCUAC